UAUACCAGUGUUCAGGUUAAUGGUUAAGGGUUGGUAUUUAAAGUAUACUGCAGUUUCUUUUAGUUAAUAAUACAUCAUCCCAUGGGUUCUGAAGAAUCUGUCAAAACAAAUAAUGGCAAACUAGACCAAUGCUUCAUUUGGACUCGAGGCUGCCUUGGACAAAAUGAAUCUGGUUAUCCGUUUCCAAUAGACAGGAGUCAUUAAUUUCCUUAGGAGAGAUCUAUAGAACUGGAAUGCUUGAGUCUCAUAGAUGUUUUUAAAUCUCUUGUUCCAUUUAGAAUUGUUUCUAUUUUACUGGUGUUUCUCACUGUUGCCUGUAGUAACAUCAGGUAUUUCUCAGUUUUUAGAAUGAACUAUUUGUUUCUUUAAACACAGGACCCCACACCUUGGAUUUCACAGUCUAUUGAAAUCAAGGUCAACUGGAAACUAAUACUCUGCUUCCAUUCAUUUUGUGCCUUCAGACUUCAACCGAAACCACUGAGAGAGGAUAGCCUCAAAUACCAUGCUUGGGUUUCAAUGCCAUGAGGGGUUAGCAAACGAAGAUGGCCGUCCCCGCUAUCGCUUACAGAAGAUGACCCACAUAGAUGGCUAAGAACUGAAUCAAAUCUAUUCUGACCAAGGGAAAAAUGCAACAAUCCUUAGAAAGACAAGCCAACAAGCUGAGCCUCACUAAUACACAGCACUGGCAGGUAACCCCCGGACCUCUCUCCAGGCCUGCUUCCUGUCCUGGGAGGCUCACUGUGACGUCCUCAACUGGGGCUCCAUUUCAAGGGACUUCUGAGAUGUCAGACUUCCAGACAGAGAUGGAGGGAGGGGGAGAGGGGUCAGGAUCUUCAUCAUCCUGACUCCCUCCCUGCCUCAGGGCCUUGAACUCCUGGGCCCCUCUGUCUGUGUUCUCUGCACCCCCCAGUUGGAUGGCCAACUCAGUACCACUGUAUUCCCGGCUCCCAGGAAAGGAAGGAGAGGUGGAACUAGUCAGGCUUCUCUGCUAUUCUAAUGGUUUCCCUGGGCCUCACCUUUGUAAACAGCGUAUCCAUAAAUAAACUCUGCUCAAAUCAUCUGAUCGUGAACGUGCCACGUGUGUCUUGUUGGGACACUGACUGACACCACAGCUAUGUAUUUUCCUCAGAGGACGUUUCAAUACAUCCCACAGGAUUUUAUUCCUCAUCUUCUCAUUCGCAAUAUUUAUUUAACUAUCAUGCCAUUGUGAUCUUGACUUCUUUAAGCUAAGAGUUAUUUAGGAGGAAGAUUCAAAAUGUAUAGGUAGGCUUUUUU
This is a long non-coding RNA of Felis catus (domestic cat), 1275 nucleotides long. RefSeq lists it as uncharacterized. The record is from RefSeq and is a predicted model, not a curated record. NCBI's taxonomy places the organism in Eukaryota, Metazoa, Chordata, Mammalia, Carnivora, Felidae. The transcript has 3 exons.